GGGACUAUAGUUUAAUGGUAGAAUAGCUGCCUUCCAUUCAGUUAGCAGCUGGCGUGGGUUCGAUUCCCGCUGGUCUCA
Naganishia friedmannii is the source of this 78-nucleotide non-coding RNA. NCBI's taxonomy places the organism in Eukaryota, Fungi, Basidiomycota, Tremellomycetes, Filobasidiales, Filobasidiaceae. The record is from the annotation of a GenBank genome assembly.